RNAcentral lists this long non-coding RNA (1194 nucleotides) under Equus caballus (horse). RNAcentral's name for it is "lncRNA (ENSECAG00000059241.1)". Lineage: Eukaryota; Metazoa; Chordata; Mammalia; Perissodactyla; Equidae. The record is from RNAcentral.
AACCUCUUCCUGAAGUGAAAAACAGUCAGCAUGAGCCACGAAUGCCGCCCUGGAAACACCCCGUGUCCUUUCGAAAGCAGUUUUAGCAGACGUGGAGAAGAAGGCCCAUUUAUGCAGAGCUGGCUCAACCAUUUCCCGUUUUAUGAACUGAUUAGAAAAACAGAAAUUGGACAUUGUGGCUUACGUAUAGUUCGCACAUUUUGGGAGGAGGGAGCGAACGGCAUCGCUCAGCGUGUCAGACUGGAGGUGUGAUAUCUGCCCAAUCCUGUUCCGACGUGUAGUGUCAGGUCCUUCAAAGAUUCUGCAUCCGAGCCAAGUGCCCUGGCCAGCCAUGCAACCAUCUAGCCUCUGACCGACUUCCUGUUGUGCCCCUUCCUGGUCCCCUGUGAACAAGCUGUCUUGCCUGGAGUGACUUAGUCACCUGACCUCAGCAUUCCUCAAAGUGACAUAAAAAUACCGGGAGAUAAUAGCACUCACCUCACAGUGUUGUUGCGGAUUUUAAACGAGUUAACCCAUAAAGUGCUUCACAUUCAGCCAGAGCUGUAAAGCUGGCUUUUUAUGAAUGCACCUGUGUUAUUUCUCAUACCAAAUUCUAAAUGUCUUUCGAACAGAAUCUAUUGGUCUAAUUGGCAUAUGUUCUUCCCAGAUAUUAAGCACGUAUUAUGCACUCAUUGAAUAUCUGUUCACAAGAAGAGUGGAUGAAUACACGAGGAAAUUAAGACUCUGUGUAAUCAGAUAACAUGCCCGUGGACAGAAGGGGAGCAGAAAUGAACAGUAAUGAGUGGAUUCAAUGUCUGUUGGGCUCCAGGGACAGAAGCAGGCAGAGGCUGUGGGAGGUUGUCACCUGCCAGGUAAUGCGACUUGAAAGUUUCAUGUAAAGUGAUGAGUUGGGGAUGCAGCACCCAGAGCCAGGUUCACUGCUUGAAUAAGUGCCAUGGCUCGUGUUUCCUUACUUAUGAAAGGAAGCUUAAAAAAGUUGUCCUGCCGCCUAGAUUGCAGCUCAGCUAGGACCAGCGGGACCAGGGGGUUGAGAGAAGACAGGCACAGCCUCAUGGCUGGGAACUGACCCGAGCCGCUGGCUAUUUCUGUGUCUGGACCUCUGCUAUCCUCAACAGCGCUGAAGAGUAGGAACCCAAAGUGCCGCCAUAGAACCUAGUUCUGCAUCCUGGGCAUGGGGGAAGCCGCUGGAGGUUU